Molecule: small RNA, 52 nt
Rfam family: ffh sRNA
Source: Rfam
CGUUGCGGGGAUCGCCACCAGUCAGCGCGUCGCGCCCACUGGUGCAAUCGUC